This 345-nucleotide unclassified non-coding RNA is filed under the name soil metagenome. RNAcentral describes it as "partial contains 5.8S ribosomal RNA, internal transcribed spacer 2, and large subunit ribosomal RNA". The stretch from base 1 to 120 matches the Rfam family "5.8S ribosomal RNA", at positions 35 to 154 of the family's 154-position model. The record is from RNAcentral.
GAUGAAGAACGUAGCGAAAUGCGAUACGUAAUGUGAAUUGCAGAAUUCAGUGAAUCAUCGAGUCUUUGAACGCACAUUACGCCCCCUGGUAUUCCGGGGGGCAUGCCUGUCCGAGCGUCAUUGCUGCCCUCAAGCACGGCUUGUGUGUUGGGCCUCCGUCCUCCUCCCGGGGGACGGGCCCGAAAGGCAGCGGCGGCACCGCGUCCGGUCCUCGAGCGUAUGGGGCUUCGUCACCCGCUCUUGUAGGCCCGGCCGGCGCUUGCCGACACAUCAAUCUUUUUUCCAGGUUGACCUCGGAUCAGGUAGGGAUACCCGCUGAACUUAAGCAUAUCAAUAAGCGGAGGA